RNAcentral lists this unclassified non-coding RNA (297 nucleotides) under uncultured Dothideomycetes. Its description in RNAcentral is "sequence contains ITS1". The stretch from base 1 to 105 matches the Rfam family "5.8S ribosomal RNA", at positions 50 to 154 of the family's 154-position model. Lineage: Eukaryota; Fungi; Ascomycota; Dothideomycetes. The record is from RNAcentral.
GAAAUGCGAUAAGUAGUGUGAAUUGCAGAAUUCAGUGAAUCAUCGAAUCUUUGAACGCACAUUGCGCCCCUUGGUAUUCCAUGGGGCAUGCCUGUUCGAGCGUCAUUUGUACCCUCAAGCUCUGCUUGGUGUUGGGUGAUUGUCCUGCUUUGGCAUGGAUUCGCCCCAAAUGUAUUGGCAGCUAUUGUAUUAUCCUAGAGCGCAGCACAUUUUUGCGAUCCUAGCAUGUAUGGUAGCGUCCAGCAAGCCUUUUCAACGCUUGACCUCGGAUCAGGUAGGGAUACCCGCUGAACUUAA